Molecule: unclassified non-coding RNA, 348 nt
Filed under: soil metagenome
Description: partial contains 5.8S ribosomal RNA, internal transcribed spacer 2, and large subunit ribosomal RNA
Rfam family: 5.8S ribosomal RNA (bases 1-120)
Source: RNAcentral
GAUGAAGAACGUAGCGAAAUGCGAUAAGUAAUGUGAAUUGCAGAAUUCAGUGAAUCAUCGAAUCUUUGAACGCACAUUGCGCCCGCCAGUAUUCUGGCGGGCAUGCCUGUCUGAGCGUCAUUUCAACCCUCAUGCCCCUAGGGCGUGGUGUUGGGGAUCGGCCAAAGCCCGCGAGGGACGGCCGGCCCCUAAAUCUAGUGGCGGACCCGUCGUGGCCUCCUCUGCGAAGUAGUGAUAUUCCGCAUCGGAGAGCGACGAGCCCCUGCCGUUAAACCCCCAACUUUCCAAGGUUGACCUCAGAUCAGGUAGGAAUACCCGCUGAACUUAAGCUUAUCAAUAAGCGGAGGA